RNAcentral lists this ribosomal RNA (292 nucleotides) under uncultured bacterium. RNAcentral describes it as "partial 16S ribosomal RNA". It matches the Rfam family "Bacterial small subunit ribosomal RNA", at positions 505 to 796 of the family's 1533-position model. The record is from RNAcentral.
GUGCCAGCCGCCGCGGUAAUACGAAGGGGGCUAGCGUUGCUCGGAAUUACUGGGCGUAAAGGGAGCGUAGGCGGACGAUUAAGUUGGGGGUGAAAUCCCAGGGCUCAACCCUGGAACUGCCUCCAAAACUGGUCGUCUUGAGUAUGGGAGAGGUAUGCGGAACUCCGAGUGUAGAGGUGAAAUUCGUAGAUAUUCGGAAGAACACCAGUGGCGAAGGCGGCAUACUGGCCCAUUACUGACGCUGAGGCUCGAAAGCGUGGGGAGCAAACAGGAUUAGAAACCCGCGUAGUCC